This 76-nucleotide transfer RNA is filed under the name Candidatus Symbiopectobacterium sp. 'North America'. RNAcentral's name for it is "tRNA-Asn". It matches the Rfam family "tRNA". From Rfam's summary of the family: Transfer RNA (tRNA) molecules are approximately 80 nucleotides in length. Their secondary structure includes four short double-helical elements and three loops (D, anti-codon, and T loops). Further hydrogen bonds mediate the characteristic L-shaped molecular structure. tRNAs have two regions of fundamental functional importance: the anti-codon, which is responsible for specific mRNA codon recognition, and the 3' end, to which the tRNAs corresponding amino acid is attached (by aminoacyl-tRNA synthetases). tRNAs cope with the degeneracy of the genetic code in two manners: having more than one tRNA (with a specific anti-codon) for a particular amino acid; and 'wobble' base-pairing, i.e. permitting non-standard base-pairing at the 3rd anti-codon position. Lineage: Bacteria; Pseudomonadati; Pseudomonadota; Gammaproteobacteria; Enterobacterales; Enterobacteriaceae. The record is from RNAcentral.
UCCUCUGUAGUUCAGUCGGUAGAACGGCGGACUGUUAAUCCGUAUGUCACUGGUUAGAGUCCAGUCAGAUGAGCCA